This is a ribosomal RNA of 473 nucleotides. It matches the Rfam family "Bacterial large subunit ribosomal RNA", at positions 1926 to 2551 of the family's 2925-position model.
AACGGCCGCGGUAUUUUGACCGUGCAAAGGUAGCGCAAUCACUUGUCUUUUAAAUAGAGACCUGUAUGAAUGGCAUAACGAGGGCUUAACUGUCUCCUCUUUCCUAUCAAUGAAAUUGAUCCCCCCGUGCAGAAGCGGGGAUAUUAACAUAAGACGAGAAGACCCUAUGGAGCUUAAGCCGCAAGAACAGAACCUUACCCCUCUACCAAUCAAAAGUAUGAGAUUUAUGUUUUCAACCCUGUUCAAGUGUCUUUGGUUGGGGCGACCACGGAGCACAAUAAAACCUCCAUGAGGAAUGAAAAUAUUUUUUUUAUUUAAGGGUGACAACCCUAAAAACCAGAACUUCUGACCAUUUGAUCCGGCAAAGCCGAUCAACGAACCGAGUUACCCUAGGGAUAACAGCGCAAUCCUCUUCUAGAGUCCAUAUCGACAAGAGGGUUUACGACCUCGAUGUUGGAUCAGGACAUCCUAAU